RNAcentral lists this ribosomal RNA (254 nucleotides) under uncultured bacterium. Its description in RNAcentral is "partial 16S ribosomal RNA". It matches the Rfam family "Bacterial small subunit ribosomal RNA", at positions 524 to 776 of the family's 1533-position model. The record is from RNAcentral.
UACGGAGGGUGCGAGCGUUGUCCGGAAUCAUUGGGCGUAAAGGGCGCGUAGGUGGCCCGGUCAGUUCGUGGUGAAAGCGCGGGGCUCAACCCUGCGUCGGCCAUGAAUACUGCCGCGGCUGGAGCACUGUAGAGGCAGGCGGAAUUCCGGGUGUAGCGGUGGAAUGCGUAGAUAUCUGGAGGAACACCGGUGGCGAAGGCGGCAUCCUGGACCGAGAUUGACGCUGAGGCGCGAAAGCCAGGGGAGCAAACGGG